Molecule: ribosomal RNA, 587 nt
Filed under: uncultured bacterium
Lineage: Bacteria
Description: bacterial SSU rRNA
Rfam family: Bacterial small subunit ribosomal RNA
Source: RNAcentral
CCUACGGGAGGCAGCAGUGGGGAAUUUUGGACAAUGGGCGCAAGCCUGAUCCAGCAAUGCCGCGUGAGUGAAGAAGGCCUUCGGGUUGUAAAGCUCUUUUGUCAGGGAAGAAACGGCCUGUUCUAAUACAGUGGGCUAAUGACGGUACCUGAAGAAUAAGCACCGGCUAACUACGUGCCAGCAGCCGCGGUAAUACGUAGGGUGCAAGCGUUAAUCGGAAUUACUGGGCGUAAAGCGUGCGCAGGCGGUUUUGUAAGUCUGUCGUGAAAUCCCCGGGCUCAACCUGGGAAUGGCGAUGGAGACUGCAAGGCUAGAGUUUGGCAGAGGGGGGUAGAAUUCCACGUGUAGCAGUGAAAUGCGUAGAUAUGUGGAGGAACACCGAUGGCGAAGGCAGCCCCCUGGGUCAAAACUGACGCUCAUGCACGAAAGCGUGGGGAGCAAACAGGAUUAGAUACCCUGGUAGUCCACGCCCUAAACGAUGUCUACUAGUUGUCGGGUCUUAAUUGACUUGGUAACGCAGCUAACGCGUGAAGUAGACCGCCUGGGGAGUACGGGUCGCAAGAUUAAAACCUCAAAGGAAUUGACGG